RNAcentral lists this ribosomal RNA (468 nucleotides) under uncultured bacterium. RNAcentral's name for it is "partial 16S ribosomal RNA". It matches the Rfam family "Bacterial small subunit ribosomal RNA", at positions 28 to 507 of the family's 1533-position model. The record is from RNAcentral.
GACGAACGCUGGCGGCGUGCUUAACACAUGCAAGUCGAACGGAAAGGCCCUGCUUUUGUGGGGUGCUCGAGUGGCGAGCGGGUGAGUAACACGUGAGUAACCUGCCCUUGACUUUGGGAUAACUUCAGGAAACUGGGGCUAAUACCGGAUAGGACCUCCUGCUGCUUGUUGGGGUUUGGAAAGUUUCGGCGGUUGGGGAUGGACUCGCGGCUUAUCAGCUUGUUGGUGGGGUAGUGGCUUACCAAGGCUUUGACGGGUAGCCGGCCUGAGAGGGUGACCGGCCACAUUGGGACUGAGAUACGGCCCAGACUCCUACGGGAGGCAGCAGUGGGGAAUAUUGCACAAUGGGCGGAAGCCUGAUGCAGCAACGCCGCGUGCGGGAUGACGGCCUUCGGGUUGUAAACCGCUUUCGCCUGUGACGAAGCGUGAGUGACGGUAAUGGGUAAAGAAGCACCGGCUAACUACGUG